UUUUUUAUUAAUUAUUAUAGUUCACUUCUCAUCUUUAUAUGAUUUUAUUUUUGCGGAAAAAUAAUAUCAUCAUUAUAAAAAAAUAAUUAGAGUUAUUUCGCAUAUGCCACAAUUUGAAUUUUUAAAAACGAAUAUAAACUGUUCAAUACAUGAAAAAAUAUUAUAACGGGUGAAAAAUAGAUUUAAGAAAACUUUCUACUGAGUAACGGGUCAUAAUUUGAAAUAUUUAUAUUCAAUUUCAUACAUAUUAUAUUGAAAAUUUAUAAUCUUAUAUACUACAAUAAUUAAUAACAUAUUAGAUGUGAUUCAAUUUUUAAUAAAAGCUGGAAAAUCCUAGAAUUGACGGGUUUAGAUCGAUAUUAAUACAAGAUGGAAUACUACAGGUGAAACUCUUAAAUUAACAAUCAAACUACAAGUGUAUAAUCUUAAACACUAAACAAUAUAGAUAAUAUCAACAAAACAUAUACAUGAACUCACAGUUUACUAUACAUAUAAAAUCAAAUAAAAUAAUAUCAUAUAUUUUUAAAUCAUCUUUACAAUAAAAGAUUUU
Molecule: small RNA, 550 nt
Filed under: Arabidopsis thaliana (thale cress)
Lineage: Eukaryota; Viridiplantae; Streptophyta; Magnoliopsida; Brassicales; Brassicaceae
Description: ATSL291840
Source: RNAcentral